AACGUAGGUGGCAAGCGUUAUCCGGAUUUACUGGGCGUAAAGAGCCCGCGGGCGGCUCUUCAGGUCGACUGUGAAAUCUCCUGGCUCAACUGGGAGGGUGCGGUCGAAACCGGAGGGCUUGAGGGCCGGAGAGGGACAUGGAAUUCCCGGAGUAGUGGUAAAAUGCGUUGAGAUCGGGAGGAACACCAGUGGCGAAAGCGAUGUCCUGGCCGGUGCCUGACGCUUAGGGGCGAAAGCGUGGGGAGCGAACGGG
Molecule: ribosomal RNA, 253 nt
Filed under: uncultured bacterium
Lineage: Bacteria
Description: partial 16S ribosomal RNA
Rfam family: Bacterial small subunit ribosomal RNA
Source: RNAcentral